GAGUGGCGAACAUGGUGAGUAACACGUGGGAAACCUGCCCAGAAGCGGGGGAUAACACCUGGAAACAGAUGCUAAUACCGCAUAACAACUUGGACCGCAUGGUCCGAGUUUGAAAGAUGGCUUCGGCUAUCACUUUUGGAUGGUCCCGCGGCGUAUUAGCUAGAUGGUGGGGUAACGGCUCACCAUGGCAAUGAUACGUAGCCGACCUGAGAGGGUAAUCGGCCACAUUGGGACUGAGACACGGCCCAAACUCCUACGGGAGGCAGCAGUAGGGAAUCUUCCACAAUGGACGAAAGUCUGAUGGAGCAACGCCGCGUUUGGGUAAAAGGGUUUCGGCUCGUAAAACUCUGUUGUUAAAGAAGAACAUAUCUGAGAGUAACUGUUCAGGUAUUGACGGUAUUUAACCAGAAAGCCACGGCUAACUACGUGCCAGCAGCCGCGGUAAUACGUAGGUGGCAAGCGUUGUCCGGAUUUAUUGGGCGUAAAGCGAGCGCAGGCGGUUUUUUAAGUCUGAUGUGAAAGCCUUCGGCUCAACCGAAGAAGUGCAUCGGAAACUGGGAAACUUGAGUGCAGAAGAGGACAGUGGAACUCCAUGUGUAGCGGUGAAAUGCGUAGAUAUAUGGAAGAACACCAGUGGCGAAGGCGGCUGUCUGGUCUGUAACUGACGCUGAGGCUCGAAAGUAUGGGUAGCAAACAGGAUUAGAUACCCUGGUAGUCCAUACCGUAAACGAUGAAUGCUAAGUGUUGGAGGGUUUCCGCCCUUCAGUGCUGCAGCUAACGCAUUAAGCAUUCCGCCUGGGGAGUACGGCCGCAAGGCUGAAACUCAAAGGAAUUGACGGGGGCCCGCACAAGCGGUGGAGCAUGUGGUUUAAUUCGAAGCUACGCGAAGAACCUUACCAGGUCUUGACAUACUAUGCAAAUCUAAGAGAUUAGACGUUCCCUUCGGGGACAUGGAUACAGGUGGUGCAUGGUUGUCGUCAGCUCGUGUCGUGAGAUGUUGGGUUAAGUCCCGCAACGAGCGCAACCCUUAUUAUCAGUUGCCAGCAUUAAGUUGGGCACUCUGGUGAGACUGCCGGUGACAAACCGGAGGAAGGUGGGGAUGACGUCAAAUCAUCAUGCCCCUUAUGACCUGGGCUACACACGUGCUACAAUGGAUGGUACAACGAGUUGCGAACUCGCGAGAGUAAGCUAAUCUCUUAAAGCCAUUCUCAGUUCGGAUUGUAGGCUGCAACUCGCCUACAUGAAGUCGGAAUCGCUAGUAAUCGCGGAUCAGCAUGCCGCGGUGAAUACGUUCCCGGGCCUUGUACACACCGCCCGUCACACCAUGAGAGUUUGUAACACCCAAAGUC
This 1349-nucleotide ribosomal RNA is filed under the name Lactiplantibacillus plantarum. RNAcentral describes it as "Lactobacillus plantarum 16S ribosomal RNA". It matches the Rfam family "Bacterial small subunit ribosomal RNA", at positions 93 to 1428 of the family's 1533-position model. The record is from RNAcentral. Lineage: Bacteria; Bacillati; Bacillota; Bacilli; Lactobacillales; Lactobacillaceae.